RNAcentral lists this ribosomal RNA (253 nucleotides) under uncultured bacterium. RNAcentral describes it as "partial 16S ribosomal RNA". It matches the Rfam family "Bacterial small subunit ribosomal RNA", at positions 524 to 776 of the family's 1533-position model. The record is from RNAcentral.
UACGGAGGGUGCAAGCGUUAUCCGGAUUCACUGGGCUUAAAGGGUGCGUAGGCGGGUUGGUAAGUCAGUGGUGAAAUCUCCGAGCUUAACUUGGAAACUGCCAUUGAUACUAUUAGUCUUGAAUAUUGUGGAGGUCAGCGGAAUAUGUCAUGUAGCGGUGAAAUGCUUAGAGAUGACAUAGAACACCGAUUGCGAAGGCAGCUGGCUGCGCAUAUAUUGACGCUGAGGCACGAAAGCGUGGGGAGCAAACAGG